This 428-nucleotide ribosomal RNA is filed under the name uncultured bacterium. RNAcentral describes it as "partial 16S ribosomal RNA". It matches the Rfam family "Bacterial small subunit ribosomal RNA", at positions 354 to 796 of the family's 1533-position model. The record is from RNAcentral.
GUGGGGAAUAUUGGGCAAUGGGCGAAAGCCUGACCCAGCAACGCCGCGUGAGGGAAGAAGGUUUUCGGAUUGUAAACCUCUGUCCUUGGUGACGAACACAAUGACGGUAGCCAAGGAGGAAGCCCCGGCUAACUACGUGCCAGCAGCCGCGGUAAUACGUAGGGGGCAAGCGUUGUCCGGAAUGACUGGGCGUAAAGGGCGUGUAGGCGGCCGAUUAAGUCUGGAGUGAAAGUCCUGCUUUCAAGGUGGGAAUUGCUUUGGAGACUGGUUGGCUUGAGUGCGGAAGAGGUAAGUGGAAUUCCCAGUGUAGCGGUGAAAUGCGUAGAGAUUGGGAGGAACACCAGUGGCGAAGGCGACUUACUGGGCCGUAACUGACGCUGAGGCGCGAAAGCGUGGGGAGCGAACAGGAUUAGAAACCCUGGUAGUCC